GGACAUGAGGGUAGUCUGGCUACAAGACCUACCCACCCACUGAUCACCAAGGUUGGUAUGGCUAAUCUUGCUGGCAAGGUGCAUGUCCCCUGCUUCCCUCACUGGUCUGGGGUAUCCCUCCUAAAACUGCACACCCCCACAGAUGGGAAUCUUUCUCCAGUCCAAAAUGCGUGAGUAGUACUUUCCCCUGCUAGGACCUCCAGAAGAGCUCUCAGGCUCCUUGUGAAGGAGAACAUGAGUUAGCCAAACUUCCAAAACUGCAGACAGCCUGCCUUUUAAAAAAGAGAAAGAUGUCAAUCGUU
Molecule: small nuclear RNA, 302 nt
Filed under: Chinchilla lanigera (long-tailed chinchilla)
Lineage: Eukaryota; Metazoa; Chordata; Mammalia; Rodentia; Chinchillidae
Description: 7SK RNA (ENSCLAG00000021803.1)
Rfam family: 7SK RNA
About the family: 7SK was discovered as an abundant small nuclear RNA in the mid-70s but a possible function has only recently been suggested.
Source: Rfam by way of RNAcentral